CACGUACUGUGCGAACGUUAUUCGGAAUCACUGGGCUUAAAGGGUACGUAGGCGGUUAAUCAAGUCAGGUGUGAAAUGCCUGAGCUCAACUGAGCACUGCGCUUGAAACUGAUUAGCUAGAGUAUUCCAGGGGUGUGCGGAACUUAUGGUGGACGGUGAAAUGCGUUGAUAUCAUGAGACACCGGAGCGAAGGCGGCACACUGGGAAUUACUGACGCUGAGUACGAAAGCUAGGGUAGCGAACGGGAUUAGAUACCCGUGUAGUCC
RNAcentral lists this ribosomal RNA (266 nucleotides) under uncultured bacterium. RNAcentral describes it as "partial 16S ribosomal RNA". It matches the Rfam family "Bacterial small subunit ribosomal RNA", at positions 524 to 796 of the family's 1533-position model. The record is from RNAcentral.